RNAcentral lists this ribosomal RNA (467 nucleotides) under uncultured bacterium. RNAcentral describes it as "partial 16S ribosomal RNA". It matches the Rfam family "Bacterial small subunit ribosomal RNA", at positions 28 to 506 of the family's 1533-position model. The record is from RNAcentral.
GACGAACGCUGGCGGCGUGCUUAACACAUGCAAGUCGAACGGAAAGGCCCUGCUUUUGUGGGGUGCUCGAGUGGCGAACGGGUGAGUAACACGUGAGUAACCUGCCCUUGACUUUGGGAUAACUUCAGGAAACUGGGGCUAAUACCGGAUAGGAGCUCCUGCUGUAUGGUGGGGGUUGGAAAGUUUCUGGGGUUGGGGAUGGACUCGCGGCUUAUCAGCUUGUGGGUGGGGUAGUGGAUAACCAAGGCUUUGACGGGUAGCCGGCCUGAGAGGGUGACCGGCCAAAUUGGGACUGGGAGGCAGCCGAGGGGACUAUGGGGCGAAGGAGGGGAGACUAUUGGAGAAAGGGCGGGAGAGUGAUGCAGGAACGCGGAGUGCGAAAUGACGGCCUUCGGGUUGUAAGCGCGUUUCGCUUGUGACGUAGCGUGGGUGCGGGUACUGGGUAGAGAGGCACGGGUUACCUACGG